This 329-nucleotide long non-coding RNA is filed under the name Trifolium pratense (red clover). Its description in RNAcentral is "long non-coding RNA (TPRA_LNC009535)". The record is from RNAcentral. Lineage: Eukaryota; Viridiplantae; Streptophyta; Magnoliopsida; Fabales; Fabaceae.
AUAUUGAAUCCUCAUUUCAAAGACUUAAACAAUGGCUGCUCCAUCAAUGUUCAUGCCAAAUAUAGAUCAUUUAAGAAGCCAAUGCAUUCUUUAACAAGCUAUAAAUCUCAUCAUAAUCUCAUCAUAAUGUACCAACAAGCUAUAAAUCAACAUUCAGACUGCAUAAUUUCAUGUCGUUUGGAUUAACUUACAGCAACUAUCUCUGAUUUUGAGUUAACCCACUUGUUUGGAUCACCUUUAAAUUUGUGUGUCGUUUGAAAUAACUUCCAGCAGGUUGGACUUAUAUCCGAGGCUUUUUUCUACAAAGAAAAUAGAUAAAUCAUUGUUUC